RNA transcript from Daphnia magna, 1474 nucleotides. RefSeq lists it as uncharacterized. Lineage: Eukaryota; Metazoa; Arthropoda; Branchiopoda; Diplostraca; Daphniidae. The record is from RefSeq and is a predicted model, not a curated record. The transcript is spliced from 3 exons.
UUGGCGACCAGACACGUAACGAUAGAACCAAAAGUCAAAUUCGGUUUAACGUCGAAAUCUGGUUUAACAAGUGUUGGUCCACUCCUGGCGCCGCCAUCGAAAACUCGAGUCAUUUUGCAACUAGUAUUAUACAUUUAUUCAUACCUAAAGUGAUGGCGAAUCAACCCAAUUUAAGUCGAGAAGGGUUCCAGAAACUCGAAUUUGUUGGUCGUCAGGGUGAUCAACUUGUCUAUCACGGGCCUAAUCAGAAAGUAAUAAUGCUGGAUGUUCAAACAGUAAACCGGUUGGGAACACCCAGUCGACCAAGGAAAAGAAGUAAUCCAGCUCGGAAUUCAGAAGAAGAUGUUUGGAGUGGACACCGAUCUUCAGACAAGACUCAAGACAAAUUAGCCACUGCCAAACUGAUAGAUAUCCUAAAAAACUAUCAAGAUAAUGGUGAGCUAUUCACUAACAAAAAGAUGAGGAAAAAAGAAGUAUGGGUUGAAAUAGCUUCACAACUCAUGGCUGAAGGUUUCCAUUUCCGUAACAAAGAGAGCGCCUGGGAAAAAGUCAGUCAAAAAUGGCGAAACAUGGAGCGCAACUUACCGUAUGCACGUACAAAACAUUCGUAACAAAGGGUUGGCUCCAGGCGCGGCAACCAUGGAGUUCUUUGAUGAUCUACACGAACUCCUUGCUGGAAAGUACAACACAGAGUCGAUGCUGAUAUCGGAUAGUUCGUCAGGUUUCGAUACCAGCUACCCGAAUCAGAACGAUGGUGACGAUACCCAACAUUCUGCAGAGAUGACGAACGAAGAACUUCUUGAAUAUUACUACGAGGAGCAGCUACAGCGAGAAGAUUCAAAUGUGACAUCUGAAGCAGGACCGCCUCAUAUGGAUGCAGAAUUGUGUGAUACUUACGUCGAAGAUGAAUUACCGCCAUCGCCCACUUUCUCCGACAACAAAGAUCUAGUCUUCUCCUCCUCAGAUCAGGAAAUCAGUAUAUCCCGUGAUCCUCACACUGCCGGAGUUAAAGAUCCCGUCCUUCGCCUUUUACUGGAAAUGAGGGCUCAAGAACGAGCACACUUCCGCGAAGACCGACGUGAACGGCUGAAAAUGCAGCGGGAUAUUUUCGAUUUUCACCGCGAUUUGAUCCACUUGCUCAAUCAACAUCAUCAAGAAAGAAUGGAAGUCAUGCACAAUCUCAUCGCAGCUAUCGGUGGAGCGUCUACUGUCAAACAGACCAACAAUGUCAUACCCAAUGGCGAUCAUAAAGAUGACGUGAGCUUACCUCUCAGCUCCUCUCGUCACAACCACCUUUCCUAGAGAUCAACGACUCUAGAAGAAAGAAAAAAAGAAUCCAGGCAAAGACCAAAUAAUAAAAUAAAGGCUUCAGUUCUUUCAAUUAUAAUAUAAACCCCCCCACUCUUUUUGUUGAAUUGGACUUCUUUAUUACUAGAUCGUAUCGUUACGACCAAUACAAAUUUCUUUGUUCAGA